GGGGCUGUAGUCGGUCCCAAGGGUUGGGCUGUUCGCCCAUUAAAGCGGUACGCGAGCUGGGUUCAGAACGUCGUGAGACAGUUCGGUCCCUAUCCGUCGCGGGCGCAGGAAAUUUGAGAGGAGCUGUCCUUAGUACGAGAGGACCGGGAUGGACGCACCGCUGGUGUACCAGUUGUUCUGCCAAGGGCAUCGCUGGGUAGCUAUGUGCGGACGGGAUAAGUGCUGAAAGCAUCUAAGCAUGAAGCCCCCCUCAAGAUGAGAUUUCCCAUUCCGCAAGGAAGUAAGAUCCCUGAAAGAUGAUCAGGUUGAUAGGUCUGAGGUGGAAGCGUGGUGACACGUGGAGCUGACAGAUACUAAUAGAUCGAGGACUUAACCUA
RNAcentral lists this ribosomal RNA (377 nucleotides) under Bacillus sp. FJAT-26377. Its description in RNAcentral is "partial 23S ribosomal RNA". It matches the Rfam family "Bacterial large subunit ribosomal RNA", at positions 2549 to 2925 of the family's 2925-position model. Lineage: Bacteria; Bacillati; Bacillota; Bacilli; Caryophanales; Bacillaceae. The record is from RNAcentral.